Oncorhynchus kisutch (coho salmon) is the source of this 6603-nucleotide RNA transcript. It is a transcript of the gene named autophagy-related protein 9A, with no coding region annotated. The record is from RefSeq and is a predicted model, not a curated record. Lineage: Eukaryota; Metazoa; Chordata; Actinopteri; Salmoniformes; Salmonidae. The transcript is spliced from 14 exons.
AAUAACAAAACACGCAUUUUGAUCGCUAAAAACAAUGUUAAAAGGCUACAACAUGAAUCUUUAUUCAUUAUCAUUGGCAAGGAUUAUCUCUGUCAUUGGGAAAAAAAAGAAAAAAAAGACACUCGUCUCGCGGAAGUGACGAUCGUUAAAAUUAAGUGACGUCAAAUUGUGUUUUGUUGACAUAUGUUUGUGAAAGACAAAACAGUGGAAGCCCACGAAUGAUCUCUAGCUAUUUAGCUGGCCAGCUACUGUUAGUUAGGUUGUUAGCAACCAUUAAUAUCUAUUAGUUAAAUAUAUAUUAUUGGUUAUUCCAAUAGCUCGACAAAUAACGUUGAAGUCCAGGCCAUUUGAAUUUAGAAUUCUGCGAAUGGACCGUGAAGGGAACAAUAACGUUAAUAGCAGUACAUCAAGGCAAGGAUAAACGAGUAACGUUAACUGACUGGCAAGCAAGAAAAGAAGCUGAUCGAGAGGAGGAACAGUGGAGAAUGUGAAGGACAAUGGCGAACUUUGAAGCUUACCAGGAGUACCAGCGGAUUGAUGACUUUGAGGAGGACUCACCUCCCGGGGAGGAGGACCUAUUAGUGCAUGUGCCAGAGGGCCUGAGUGACUCAUGGCACCAUAUCAAGAAUCUGGACAACUUCUUUACAAGAAUCUAUCAGUUUCAUCAGAAAAAUGGCUUUGCUUGUAUGAUGUUAUCAGAGUUCUUUGAACUUUUUCAGUUCCUGUUUGUGGUCACUUUCACAACAUUCCUCUUCAACUGUGUGGAGUAUGAUAUACUGUUUGCCAACCGGGCAGUGAACCACACAGGACCUGGCCAGAACCCCCUGGACAGGAACAAGGUCUCUCUGCCUGAUGCCAUCCUACCAAGCCAGCAGUGCACUGAGAGGAUCCAGGAGAACAGUUUGAUCAUCUUCCUGCUCAUCAUGGCGACCAUCUUCUGGGUCUACCGGAUGAUCAAGGUCUUCUGCAACAUCCUCAGCUACUGGGAGAUACGCCAGUUCUACAUCAAAGCACUGAAGAUCAGCAUGGACGAGCUGUGUAACUUCACAUGGCAGGAGGUCCAGGACCGUCUGAUCAGCCUGCAGCGGGAGCAGCAGAUGUGUAUCCACAAGAAGGAGCUAACUGAGCUGGACAUCUACCACCGCAUCCUGCGAUUCAAGAACUACAUGGUGGCCAUGGUCAAUAAGUCACUGUUACCUGUACAGCUUCAGCUCCCCCUUCUGGGAAACCUGGUGUUCCUCACCCAGGGCCUCAAGUACAACUUUGAGCUUAUUCUCUUCUGGGGUCCGGGGUCGCUGUUCCAGAACAAAUGGAACCUGCACCCCAAGUACAAGCGAGCAGGGAACCGUCUGGAGCUGGCCCAGCAGCUGAGCCGGGUCAUUCUUCUACUAGGCGUGGCCAACCUGCUCCUCUGCCCCUUCAUCCUGGUGUGGCAGGUGCUCUACGCCUUCUUCAGCUACACCGAGAUCAUCAGGAGGGAGCCAGGGAGUCUGGGAGCACGCCGCUGGUCUAUGUUCGGCCGCCUCUACCUGCGCCACUUCAAUGAGCUGGACCACGAGCUGCACGGCAGGCUAGGCCGCGGCUACAAGCCCAUCUCCAAGUACAUGAACUCGUUCACCUCGCCGCUCCUCACCGUGCUGGCCAAGAACGUGGCGUUCUUCUCGGGCUCGGUGCUGGCCGUGCUCAUCGCACUGACCGUGUAUGAUGAGGAUGUCUUGACCGUGCAGCACAUCCUGACCGCCAUCACUGUGCUGGGAGUGGUUAUCACCAUCACCAGGUCCUUCAUCCCAGACGAACACAUGGUGUGGUGCCCGGAGCAGCUGCUGCAGUGUGUGCUUGCUCACAUCCACUACAUGCCAGACCACUGGAGGGGCAACGCCAACAAGAGCGAGACCCGGGACGAGGUGGCACAGCUGUUCCAGUACAAAGCGCUGUUUAUCCUGGAGGAGCUGCUGAGCCCCAUCGUCACGCCCUUCAUUCUCAUCUUCCUCCUGAGGAACAAGUCCCUGGACAUCAUCGACUUCUUCAGGAACUUCACUGUGGAGGUAGUUGGGGUCGGAGACAUCUGCUCCUUCGCACAGAUGGACAUCCGUCGUCAUGGAAACCCUCUGUGGAUGUCUGAGGGCCAGACGGAGGCAUCUGUGUACCAGCAGGCUGAGAACGGCAAGACUGAGCUGUCUCUGAUGCACUUCACCAUCAAGAACCCCCGUUGGCAGCCCCCCCAGGAGAGCUCAGUGUUCAUCAGCCAUCUGAAGGAGAAGGUGCACCAGGACGCCCAGGGAGGACCCCCCACCCAGCUGCUGCUCUCUGAGGCCCCGCUCUGCUCCUCACUGCUCUCUAACGGGUCCGGCAAUGAACCUGACAACCUAUUGGCAAGUGUCCUGGCCCACCCUGUGCUGACCGCGUCAGGCCUACCAGGCCGCUUCGUUCCUCCCAGCACGGCUGCCUCUGCCGCCGCCAGCGUCCUGGCCUCGCUAUCCAGCUCCCACUCUCAGCUCCCCCACGCCAGCCGCUCCCGCUCGCAUGUCCAUCUGCCUUCCACCCACCCCGACAGCACCAUGUACUGCAGUGACCGCACCAUCAUCGACAGCAUGUCAGGGAGUGAUUCUCGAAUGAAGAGCACUACAUUGCUAUCAGAGUUUGCCUCGGCUGAGAUGAGUCUCCAUGCUAUUUACAUGCAUGAGGUAGGUAACCUCGAAGAGGUGGCCUCAGGGUCCUUCUUUUCAUUUACCUUUCUACACGCACACACACACCGAGUGUGUGACGUGUGUUCCACUCUGUCCUUAGGUCCACCAACAGAACUCACUCCCCCACCAGAGGACAUUCGGCCAGUGGCAGAACCCAGUGCCAAUGAGAGAGCUAAGCAGCAACGCUGGUUCUCAGACGCACAGCGUCCACACAGCAGUCAGCCUGUCUAAUAUGCCCACCCCGUUGCGUCUGGGAGGCUGGACGGAGGAAGAGGAGGGGGAUGCAGAGGAAGAGGAAAUCCUCAACAGUGGGUCGACUCCUAAACAGGACUCUAGGAGUAGCUAUUGAAGUGCCUUAAAUAAAUGGUGUUUACACUUUCCUUUCUGGAUGAACAUUGUGGCCUUAGAUGAUCUUUUUGGAGUAUAGGAUAGAUAGGACCUUUAUGACGUCACACAGCACAGGCAGCUGGGGAACUCAUUGGAUAACCACUGUCUCCAUGCCUCUACUCCUAUCACAUCAGGAGGUUUUGUCGUCAGGGAAACCAACUGUAUGUCUUCCGUCCCUCUCCAUGUCAUAUUUUGUUAUAGAAUGUAUUUACAUCGCUCAUAGAGGUGUGUGUGUGUGUGCGCUUUGGGACUCUGGGAAAGAGUGGCAUGCACAGCUAGGACACUUGCAAGGCAGGUUUGAGCAUGGUACGCAGCAAAACCUGUCACACUUUUUGUUGCAUAUUCAUGUUUUUUUUAAUAUAUAUAUAUAAGUUUGAUUUGUGCAUUUGGGAGGUUUACAAUAUGGGUCUGCGUUCACUUUCUCAUGGUGGAAAUGGUGUCUUUCCUGGUGCUGAAGAGACUAUGGAGUGAAGGUGUAUCAUACUAGCUGCCUGACCAUUUUCACUAUAUGAGGAAAGUUAAGUGCAAAAUUCUACAUUGGCAUAUUUGGCCCUUACUUAUUGCUUGACAUUUGUAAAUACACUUUAGCGUCUUACCUCUAUAUGAAUAUUUAAGUUUUGUUGUUUUUAGUCCUUGGGGCAGUUUUAAUCCUUGGGGAAGAUGGAAAAGUACUGAAAACAGUGACAUGAAGCAGGCUGCAACUAUACUACUGCUACUACAGAUAGGACCCCACUAGAAAAUAUGACAAAAGCCUACAGAUGCGCUAGAUUAAUUAACCACAAUUGUAAACAGGAUAAAAUCUCAUUAAAAGCUGCUGUCUGAUUUAAAUGGGCCUAAUAUUAUUCUCUUUCUUUAAAAUCCUGGGUGACUCUAAGACAGGAUUCAACAUAUAAUAACUUGAUUAUUUUGUAUCAAAGUAUCUUCCAUGUACAGUCUCCACUGGCAACAGGGGUGUUAUACUUGACAAAGGUACAUACAUCAAGAUUACAUAUUUGCAGAGGCAGUAACUACAUUGUUGUGGGUAGGUAUGAGAAUAAGCUAUGGAGGGUUGCAUAUUAUGUACAGUAAAUCAAGAAGUGUUGUUGUAUACAUUGAUUUUGCAUGUACUGCUCAACAUUUUGUUUACAAAACACUUUCCCCUAUGUACACACAAUUGAACUUUAUUAUUAUUUUGCAGUUACAGCAAUCAGAUCUUGAGGGUUAAACCUGUUGGUUUUCUGUUCUACCUGAUAGUUAAUUGCACUCACUUGGUGUCCACGGUCUAAAUUAGUCCCUGAUUAGAGGGUACAAUGAAAAAAUGCAGUGGAACUAACUUUGAAAUCCAGAGUUGAGAUUGAGGGUUAUAGAGGAUGAUGUGAGCUGGCCAAUCAGCGGUCUACUCACAUUAAUAUUUUUAAUGAUCGGUAUACACCCACACCAUUCUGUUGUUGGGGUAUGCCCACACCAUUCUGUUGUUGGGGUAUGCCCACAUCAUUCCAACACAGAAUAGCAUUCUUUUUAUAAAAAUAAUUUUACAUUAUUCAUUCAAAAACUGUGGAAGGAAGACAACUAUUUCACUCAUAUUGUAAUUCAUUUAAUGUCAUAUUUCAUAGAAAUCUGGUAACUGGACAGUUACUUUAAUAUAUUUCAUUUAGUAUUUAUUGUUGAAAAAUAAUCUUUCUAGUAAAUACAUUCAUACCAAAUAUGAUUGGGAUCUAAUGUUAAUAACGGAAUGUCUUAACAGAAGUCUUGAAGGCACCCAUGUAAAUCUAACUUGUUUUCCUUAAUGUCUCAUACAACAUUGAACAAAACUGAUUUUAAAAAUAUAUAUUUUUGUUGAAUUGCCUUUGACAAAACAUAUUUGGAUAUGCAACUUUGAAAUGAAACAAUCCUUCAUGUUGCUGGUUUCAUCAGUACAGUACAACUCAAAGGAGAGCCAACUUGUCUGCAUGUAAAUGCUGAAUGUAACCCAGCCAUCAUCCCUAGAAAUACGUGGCAUGAUGUAUCAUUGGUACUGUAGCCAGAACAGUUCAUUGAAACAUUACAUUAAAGCUCCAUUACUGCUACUGUAUCCAUGUCCCACUGAUACAAUAACCUACUCCACACCUAUAUGUAAUCUCUGUAUCCUCCAACAUUUGAGUCAUUUAGCAGCUGCUCUUAUCCAGAGCGACUUACAGUAGUGAGUGUAUACAUGUUUGUUUUGGUCCCCCGGUGGGAAUCAAACCCACAACCCUGGCAUUGCAAGCACCAUGCUCUACCAAAUGAACCAAACAGGACCACUAUUGUAAGACUAGAGAGUAUAUGUGUUUGAUGACUUUUUCCCUUCAUUUAGUUUUUUUCAUUUGUGUUUUGAAGUGGUGUGGAUGUAGACAUCAACCUAACUAUGCUAAGCUAACGUUGACUCAAGUUUUGCACUGAUUGAAAAUGAAAAUUAUAUUGAUAGAGACCUGCAUCAAACUAUAUUUUCGAUCAAGCCGAGGUCUCAAAGGAACAGUGAGUGGAACUCCCUUCCUGAAUGGCCUCUCUCACUAUAUAUAAUAACCAUAUGUAGGAUUGUUAUCAUCCAUACAGUGGGCCUAUCACAGACCUGGUUGUUGUUACCUCUGGUCAGCAAAAGUUCACCAAUUAGUGGGGAAUGUCUGUCAAUGUUUUAAGUAACAUUAUAGGCCUAGUCAAUGCCACAUAUGGUAUUGCUGUUGGUGUUCCAUUUGUUUUACUGAUGUAAUGAGGGGAGACGUGGUAGUUCAUGAGUCUUGCCAGUUUCCAUAGCUAGAUUGCACUGCCUCUCCCUAUCUUUUUUGAUUCGAUUAUUUAGCUUUAUUUUGAGCAGUGCCUUAGGGUUAGCUUUAGUUCAUAUUAGAAACCAUUGAAACCGUCAGAGCUCAUUUUACUUUGUAUUUUAGCAGCACAUAAUGUACAGUAUUUCUUUUGGCAGGAUUGUCAUGUUUUGGCACCAAGUAUACAGUGGGACUUGUAUUCUAAUAUUGUUGAUGAGUCCUGAGUAACAUGAACUACAACAGACUGAUAUUUGACAUCAAAGUAGUCAUCACUUUCACCUGAUGACAGAAUUAAUCUGAUCAAAGUGUUUCGUUCUGUACUGUCUGCCUCCCCAGUCCAAAAUAAUCAGUUGGGGAGGGGAAAUGUUCUAUACCCUUUUCAUUUAUGUUUAAUUAUUAUUUAAUUCCAUCCUUGAGGCUCCCCAUUCAAUAUCAUUUGCUUCUUAUCCACUACAAACCAGUCCCCCCCCCAAAAAAACAUGUUGACUGGUACAAGGUGCUACGUUUUCAUAUUCUUAGUGUUGAAUAGAUUUUGAGCCAUCUAUUCUUUGUUGCUUAGGUUUGUUCUUUUUGUUUGUUUUGUUUAAUUUAAGAAACACUAGCUGAGAAUGAACAAUGCCAAAAUAACUUGUUUUCAGCAAAGCUUUAUCAUACACAUUGUAUUUGUUUUCUGUAACUGAAUAGGCAAAGGAAUUCUUAUUGUGUGUAUUUAAUCAUUGAAGUGUGUCCCAAGAUCUAAUGUACUUGAUUUGAAAUAAAACAUGUAAUAUACA